GACGUAGGAGGCAAGCGUUAUCCGGAGUAACUGGGCGUAAAGGGCGGGUAGGUGGUUGUGUAAGUUGGUUAUGAAAGCUCCUGGCUAAACUGGGAGAGGUUGACCAAGACUGCAGAACUUGAGUGGAGAAGAGGUAAACGGAAUUCCGCGUGUAGUGGUGAAAUGCGUAGAGAUGCGGAAGAACACCAGUGGCGAAGGCGGUUUACUGGUCUCCAACUGACACUGAGCCGCGAAAGCAUGGGUAGCGAACGGG
Molecule: ribosomal RNA, 253 nt
Filed under: uncultured bacterium
Lineage: Bacteria
Description: partial 16S ribosomal RNA
Rfam family: Bacterial small subunit ribosomal RNA
Source: RNAcentral